UAGAUGACGUAGUCUUCCUCCAAAGUCA
RNAcentral lists this non-coding RNA (28 nucleotides) under Mus musculus (house mouse). Lineage: Eukaryota; Metazoa; Chordata; Mammalia; Rodentia; Muridae. The record is from RNAcentral.